RNAcentral lists this ribosomal RNA (618 nucleotides) under Drosophila pseudoobscura. Its description in RNAcentral is "partial 16S ribosomal RNA". It matches the Rfam family "Bacterial large subunit ribosomal RNA", at positions 1895 to 2760 of the family's 2925-position model. The record is from RNAcentral. Lineage: Eukaryota; Metazoa; Arthropoda; Insecta; Diptera; Drosophilidae.
UUAAAGUCUAACCUGCCCACUGAAAUUUUAAAUGGCCGCAGUAUUUUGACUGUGCAAAGGUAGCAUAAUCAUUAGUCUUUUAAUUGAAGGCUGGAAUGAAUGGUUGGACGAAAUAUUAACUGUUUCAUUUAAAUUUUUUAUAGAAUUUUAUUUUUUAGUCAAAAAGCUAAAAUAAUUUUAAAAGACGAGAAGACCCUAUAAAUCUUUAUAUUUUUUUUAUUUUAAUUGUUAAGAUUAAUUUUAUUUUAAUAAAUAAAAAUAUUUUAUUGGGGUGAUAUUAAAAUUUAAAAAACUUUUAAUUUUUAAAAACAUUAAUUUAUGAAUAAUUGAUCCAUUAAUAAUGAUUAAAAAAUUAAGUUACUUUAGGGAUAACAGCGUAAUUUUUUUGGAGAGUUCAUAUCGAUAAAAAAGAUUGCGACCUCGAUGUUGGAUUAAGAUAUAAUUUUGGGUGUAGCCGUUCAAAUUUUAAGUCUGUUCGACUUUUAAAUUCUUACAUGAUCUGAGUUCAAACCGGUGUAAGCCAGGUUGGUUUCUAUCUUUAAAAAAUUAUAAUAUUUUAGUACGAAAGGACCAAAUAUUAGAAUAAUCAUAUUUUAAAAAAGAAUAUUAUUAAUAUAA